This 430-nucleotide ribosomal RNA is filed under the name uncultured Vicinamibacter sp. Its description in RNAcentral is "bacterial SSU rRNA". It matches the Rfam family "Bacterial small subunit ribosomal RNA", at positions 355 to 776 of the family's 1533-position model. The record is from RNAcentral. Lineage: Bacteria; Pseudomonadati; Acidobacteriota; Vicinamibacteria; Vicinamibacterales; Vicinamibacteraceae.
UGGGGAAUUGUUCGCAAUGGGCGAAAGCCUGACGACGCAACGCCGCGUGGAGGAUGAAGGUCUUCGGAUUGUAAACUCCUGUUGCCCGGGACGAAUGGCCCGCGCGUGAACAACGCGUGGGAAUGACGGUACCGGGUGAGGAAGCCCCGGCUAACUCUGUGCCAGCAGCCGCGGUAAUACAGAGGGGGCGAGCGUUGUUCGGAAUUACUGGGCGUAAAGGGCGCGUAGGCGGCCCGCUAAGUCAGACGUGAAAUCCCUCGGCUCAACCGAGGAACUGCGUCUGAGACUGGUGGGCUCGAAUCCGGGAGAGGGAUGCGGAAUUCCAGGUGUAGCGGUGAAAUGCGUAGAUAUCUGGAGGAACACCGGUGGCGAAGGCGGCAUCCUGGACCGGCAUUGACGCUGAGGCGCGAAAGCCAGGGGAGCAAACGGG